This 275-nucleotide ribosomal RNA is filed under the name uncultured bacterium. Its description in RNAcentral is "partial 16S ribosomal RNA". It matches the Rfam family "Bacterial small subunit ribosomal RNA", at positions 28 to 301 of the family's 1533-position model. The record is from RNAcentral.
GAUGAACGCUAGCGGCAGGCCUAAUACAUGCAAGCUGAACGGCAAGAUUUGUAGCAAUACGAGUCCUAGAGUAGCGUAAGGGUGCGUAACACGUAUGCAAUCUGCCCGCAACAGGAGGAUAGCUUAGCGAAAGUUGAGAUAAGACUCCAUAAGAUCACGAGAGGGCAUCUGAUUGUGAUUAAACUACAAGGGGUUGCGGAUGAGCAUGCGUCUGAUUAGUUAGUUGGCGGGGUAACGCCCACCAAGACGAUGAUCAGUAGGGGAACUGAGAGGUU